AAGGGUGACGAAGCGACGCCGCGUGUGGGAAGAAGGCCUUCGGGUUGUAAACCACUGUCGGGAGUUAGGAAAUGCAGGUGCGUUAAUAGCGCACUUGCUUGACUAAGGCUCCAGAGGAAGCCACGGCUAACUCUGUGCCAGCAGCCGCGGUAAUACAGAGGCGGCAAGCGUUGUUCGGAAUUAUUGGGCGUAAAGAGCACGUAGGCGGCCUUGCAAGUCAGUUGUGAAAGCCUUCCGCUUAACGGAAGAACGGCAUCUGAUACUACAGGGCUUGAGUACGGGAGGGGAGAGUGGAACUUCUGGUGGAGCGGUGAAAUGCGUAGAUAUCAGAAGGAACGCCGGCGGCGAAAGCGACUCUCUGGUCCGAAACUGACGCUGAGUGUGCGAAAGCUAGGGGAGCAAACGGGAUUAGAUACCCCGGUAGUCCUAGCCGUAAACGAUGGGCACUAAGUAGAGGGGUC
RNAcentral lists this ribosomal RNA (461 nucleotides) under uncultured Planctomycetota bacterium. Its description in RNAcentral is "bacterial SSU rRNA". It matches the Rfam family "Bacterial small subunit ribosomal RNA", at positions 379 to 830 of the family's 1533-position model. The record is from RNAcentral. Lineage: Bacteria; Pseudomonadati; Planctomycetota.